AGCACCGAGCUGAGAGCUCCACUCCAGCAUCGUGGACGCUACUACUUUCCUGGGAGAUUUAUAUUAAAAAGAGGGCCGGCGGCUAGCUUUCCCUGCAUUGCAUUGCAUUGCAUUGCAUCUUUUGUUUGCUGGCAGGGAUGGCGACGCAGCAGUGGCGCCGGCGGCACGCCGUCGCCACGCUCAUCGCCGCGUGCGCCGCGGCGGCCGUCGUUGCUGUUGCUGCCGCCGCCCCCGACGUCCCGACGAGGAACUCGACAGCCUCCGCAUCAGCAGGCGGGGCCCCGGCACGCCCCGGCGGGAACGACGACGGCAAGGCGUACCACCACGUUUGGCCGCCAAUGGGAUUUGGAUGGCGAGUGGUGGUGGGGUCGCUGAUCGGCUUCUUCGGCGCGGCGUGCGGCAGCGUCGGCGGCGUAGGCGGCGGCGGCAUCUUCGUGCCCAUGCUGGCACUCAUCGUCGGCUUCGAUCCCAAGUCAUCCACUGCCAUAUCCAAGUGCAUGAUCAUGGGAGGGUCCGUUUCGACUGUCUACUACAACCUGAAGCGGAAGCACCCGAGCCUGGACAUGCCGCUGAUCGACUACGACCUCGCCCUGCUCAUGCAGCCUAUGCUCAUGCUUGGGGUCAGCAUCGGCGUCAUUUUCAACGUCAUAUUCCCCGACUGGCUCAUCACGGCCCUCCUCAUAACCAUUUUCCUAGUCACGUCGACUAAGGCGUAUCUCAAGGGCUUCGAGACCUGGAAGAAAGAGACAGUAAAGAAAAGGCUGGAGGACGCAAAAGGACAAGAGCCGCCAUCAGGUGGUCAUGGUGGCACAGAGCAUGAGACAUCGAUCCCUGUAGAAGCAGAUGCUGCUCCGCCUCCACCGAGCAGCAAGGCAAGAAACCCGACAGAUAAUGAAGCGACAUCAUCGGUUCUGAAGAACAUCUACUGGAAGGAGCUGGGUCUCCUUGCGUUCGUGUGGAUAGCAUUCCUUGGGCUUCAGCUCACAAGGACGAACUACGCCGCUUCCUGCUCCGUUUGGUACUGGGUGCUGAAUUCUCUGCAGGUCCCGGUGGCAGUGGGAGUGACAGUGUACGAAGCCUGUGGGCUAAGAACAGGGAGAAGGGCGCUGUCGUCUAAUAAGGGAGGAAGCCAGCAGCAGCAAAGCGCCCUAAGGAUUCGCCAGCUGCUGGUGUACUGCCUGUUCGGCGUCCUGGCAGGACUCGUGGGCGGCCUGCUAGGCAUGGGCGGUGGCUUCAUUAUGGGGCCACUCUUCCUGGAGCUCGGAAUCCCUCCACAGAGCAAUCCUCGUGCGUGCAGGUGUCUAGUGCUACAGCCACGUUCACGAUGAUGUUCUCGUCGUCCAUGUCGGUCGUGGAGUACUACCUGCUGCACCGCUUCCCAGUGCCUUAUGCUGCUUACUUCACGGGCGUGGCGUUCGUGGCCGCCAUCACGGGGCAGCACUGCGUGAGGAAGCUGAUCGCGUGGCUGGGCCGCGCGUCGCUCAUCAUCUUCAUCCUGGCGUCCAUGAUCUUCGUCAGCGCGCUUACGCUCGGAGGGGUAGGCAUCUCAAACAUAGUCCACAGGGUGGAGCGGCAUCAGUACAUGGGCUUCGAAAGCCUUUGCAAGGUCUAGUUAGGGUUAGGGACCCAACGCAAAAUGCAAGCAAACCAAAGACGACGUACACUGUACAAGUGGUGAACAUACACAUGAUUGAAUUGAAGGAGAGAUCGAUGGGGUCGAAAUUAAAGAUAUGCCAACAAAUCGAAUUCAGCGCACCGCAGCUGAACAUACACAUGCAUAUGAUUGAAAUAUUUUUUUCCACAUGUGGUUAAUUGAGUAAAAAUUGAUUUGUUCUGGCGGUUCAGUUACGCCACCAACCGCGAGUGUAGAGAAAUCGAUUUGCGCUGGCCUUUGUAAGCGGUAAACGAAUUCAAACAAAAAGGUUGUCGACUACAAAGUUUCGUAAACUUUUCUAAGUUCUGCAACUUUUAUUUUGGCA
RNA transcript from Zea mays, 1979 nucleotides. It is a transcript of the gene named sulfite exporter TauE/SafE family protein 3, with no coding region annotated. Lineage: Eukaryota; Viridiplantae; Streptophyta; Magnoliopsida; Poales; Poaceae. The record is from RefSeq and is a predicted model, not a curated record. The transcript is spliced from 12 exons.